CAAAUUAUUGCGUGUGUAUAUGUAAUUAUAUUUAAUUAUUAAUAAAUUUUAAUUGUUUAACUAAAAAGUAAUUGACAUUUAGUGGGUGAAAUUUAAAAAAUAUAAAUAAUAAUAAUAAAAACAUAAAAUGUUUAUAUGCUUGACGUAAAAAUGCGUAAUUUAAAUUUAAAGUCACGUAAAUAUUACCAAUGGUUAUUUAUAUUACUGAUAAUAAUAGAUCUAGCAGCUGGAGAUGACAUAAAGCCAGGACUAAAUGUCACAAUUACAACAGCGGCGUCAGCGACGACGUCAUCAUCACCGACUGCUACAACUGCGGACUUGGAACCGUUGAAAAAAAUUUUAAGUACCAAUGUGACAGAUAGUGUCAGUAAAAAUGAUAAAGUCAAUGUCAGUGUGACAGGUGAUAAAGAUGUCCAGGUCCAGUCAUCAACGAGUACCAUGACGCCGACAGUUACCUUGCGGUCUACUGAAGCUAAAACUGAUCAUACGGCAGCAGUAAACGUGACAACACCAUCAGCUGGGUCUGGAGGAAUCAACAUCACGAACGAGACCAGCACAACACCCAAGAUCGACGUGGUGCCAUUGAAUAUAACAAAUAUCACAUCAACGACAGCAGCAACAUCUACUGAAGCAGUUCUACCAGCGAAAGAGUCUGCAGAAGAUGAACACAACAGCUCAAUGUCAAUCUUCUUCGUGCUGUGUGUCCUAGCACUCGGUAUUCUUCUAAUUCACUUGAUGUUACAGACAAACUUCCAGUACCUGCCCGAGUCAGUGGUGAUAGUCUUCCUCGGAGCCGCUAUCGGCAUGUUUAUAAACUUCAUGUCGCACAAGGACAUCGCCAAUUGGAAAAAAGAAGAAGCAUUUUCCCCAACGGCAUUUUUUCUCGUUCUUUUACCGCCGAUUAUUUUUGAAUCCGGUUACAAUUUGCACAAAGGUAACUUCUUUCAAAACAUCGGUAGUAUCCUCGUGUUUGCAAUAUUUGGGACCGCGAUAUCUGCGUUUGUAAUUGGAGCUGGUAUUUAUUUGCUGGGAUUAGCUCAAGUUGCCUACAAGCUGAGCUUCGUCGAGAGUUUCGCUUUUGGGUCAUUGAUAUCUGCAGUUGAUCCAGUAGCAACGGUUGCUAUUUUUCAUGCACUGGACGUUGAUCCAGUUCUCAACAUGUUGGUCUUUGGAGAGUCGAUUUUAAACGACGCAAUUGCUAUUGUCCUGACGACAUCAGUACUGGAGUCAAAUAACGGAGCGACAACUGGCGAAUCAAUUGUUCUUGGAUUAAACAGAUUCUGCUUGAUGUUCUUCGCAUCUGCUGGAAUUGGAGUUGUCUUUGCGCUGAUAAGUGCGCUGCUGCUUAAACACGUCGACCUACGAAAGAAUCCAUCACUGGAAUUUGGUAUCAUGCUGGUGUUUACCUACGCCCCGUAUGUUCUAGCAGAAGGCAUACAGUUGUCGGGUAUCAUGGCUAUUUUGUUCAACGGCAUCGUCAUGUCGCACUACACUCAUUUUAAUCUGUCGACUGUCACGCAAAUAACGAUGCAGCAAACCAUGAGAACACUGGCGUUCAUCGCCGAGACUUGUGUGUUCGCGUACCUGGGACUCGCGUUAUUCAGUUUCCGGCACCGCGUCGAACCGGCUCUGGUCACCUGGUCACUAAUUUUGUGCCUCAUCGGCCGGGCUGCUAACAUAUUUCCGCUUGCCUUGCUAGUCAAUCGGUUCAGAGAGCAUCAAAUCACCAAGAAGAUGAUGUUCAUCAUGUGGUUCAGUGGACUACGUGGCGCUAUUUCUUACGCGCUUUCUCUUCAUUUGAAUUUCAGUGACGAAACUCGUCACGUUAUCAUCACAACGACGCUUAUUAUUGUUUUAUUCACGACAUUAAUUUUUGGCGGGUCCACGAUGCCGCUUUUGAAAUUUCUACGAGCGGAAAAAAAACCGAACACUGGAAGUAUUGGCGGUGGGAGAAGAAAAAAACGUGAUAAAGAAAUUUCAUUGAGUAAAACAAGAGAAUGGGGACAAACAAUCGACUCGGAGCAUCUAUCAGAAUUAACAGAAGAAGAGAUGGACGUCUCGUUCCGACAAUCAAGGAUCGGUGGAUUCGCACGCUGGGAUUUGAAAUUAUUCAUCCCGUUCUUCACCCGAAGAUUCACGCAGCAGGAACUCAAGGACUGCAAGUCGCAGAUGACGGACUUGACGAACCAGUGGUACCAGGCGAUAAGAAUAAGCCCCGUCGAGUCCGACGAGGACGACGAAACAACAGCGUCGACUGCACAGUUGCACAACUUGAGCUCGGGGACUAAAUCAGACGGGAAUGCCAGGAGUGAAAGCCAAUGUAUUACCGCGGGAAAAAAAGGACGUCAAAACCGACACGGGUCUAUAUUGAGUAUUUAAAUGAAUAUAUCAAGGGUGUGCCAAGUUUUGAAAGCUAUUGUGAUGCUUACUAAAUUACGAGGAUUUGUCAGAGUAACUGAUUGUCAAUCAGGAAAAAAGUUUUAAUUAUCGCACUGUAAUAAAUCAAUAAGAUAAUUUUAUUUAAUGAUAUCAAAAUAUUUUUGCUAAUUAUUAUUGUAAAUAAUGAUAAAUUGAAAGUCAUUUUUAUUUAUACAUUAUACGGCAGGCCGUCUACACAUUCAUCAAUAUUUAAUAGCGUCCAUAAUAUGUGAUCAAUAUAAUUACUUUUAUUAUAAUUAUUAUCGUUUAUUUAUAAACAACGUGCAGUUUUACUGCGUGCAAUCCGUCACCAAAUGGGGCGCGGCUUUAAAAUCAAAUUUAAAAUUUUAAAAAUCAAAAGCGCGCGAAAAAAAAAUUAAUUAGAACCGUCACUUAAAAAUUAAUUAGCAUGAAAUUUCUCAAAAAUAUGAAAGUACUAAAAUAAAUAAAAAAAAAUUUUGAAUUUUUUACUCUGAUUUUAAAAGCGCGCCUCAGAAUAAAAUAAAAAUGCACAAUUAAAUUAAUUGUUUAGUUAAUUAAAUUAGUAGAUUUGUAGACUGAACGGCCUCAGGUUUUAAUUAUAAAAGAUAAUUAUUAUUUAUAUUUAAUUAAUUAAAUUUUAUUUUUUAUUUACGUACAAAAAAAAGGAUUUAAUAAAUAAUUUAUAAUUAUCACUAACAUUUAAACAAAACUAACAUUGUAUAUUGACAAUAAAGUCAUUUAUAUU
Microplitis demolitor is the source of this 3145-nucleotide RNA transcript. It is a transcript of the gene named sodium/hydrogen exchanger 8, with no coding region annotated. The record is from RefSeq and is a predicted model, not a curated record. The transcript is spliced from 3 exons. Lineage: Eukaryota; Metazoa; Arthropoda; Insecta; Hymenoptera; Braconidae.